This 169-nucleotide ribosomal RNA is filed under the name uncultured Methylocystaceae bacterium. RNAcentral describes it as "partial 16S ribosomal RNA". It matches the Rfam family "Bacterial small subunit ribosomal RNA", at positions 338 to 524 of the family's 1533-position model. Lineage: Bacteria; Pseudomonadati; Pseudomonadota; Alphaproteobacteria; Hyphomicrobiales; Methylocystaceae. The record is from RNAcentral.
CCUACGGGAGGCAGCAGUGGGGAAUAUUGGACAAUGGGCGAAAGCCUGAUCUAGCCAUGCCGCGUGAGUGAUGAAGGCCCUAGGGUCGUAAAGCUCUUUCGCCAGGGACGAUAAUGACGGUACCUGGAUAAGAAGCCCCGGCUAACUUCGUGCCAGCAGCCGCGGUAAU